CAAUAGAGAAACUAGAGAAGACAGAACAAAGAGAAAAAGGCUGCAAAAGAACAACACAAAAUACAACAGCCAAAGUAAAGAACAACAAAAUGUCAACGAGAGACUGGCACACCUAAAACAAAAUUACCUUUUAGGUGAAAAUCUUUAUAGUCUCUUCCACAUCCCUGACCAGCAUCAUCGCAUUUUCUGCCUCUUUCAGGUCUUUAUUUUCUUGCACCUGUUGAUUGCCUUUGGUCUUCAACUCCAGCUCUCUUGCAUUUUGCCUAGUUUUGUGUCUGGAGGAGUGUUGAGAAGAACUAGAAUUCGUCUCAUCAUCAAUAAUCACAGUGUCUUUAUUCUACUUAUCCUUCUCCAAGAAAGCAACCAGCGCAUUCAUGUUUUGAAAAGACACCUUCAACACAGACAAACUAUGCUCCAUGAAUUUCCUCAGAGCACUCUUAGUUUUUUUAAUCCAAUUAUUUAUCAGAUCAUUAUCAGACUCACCCUUUUCUUUGAGAGUCCUCACCACAUCCUCCAGGUGCUUCAAAUCUCCCUUUAUAAUCUCACUUUCUAGCCAGUCCAGAAUUUCUUUUUCAUCCUCUGUUGCACUAUUAUCCUCCACAUUUUCCUCUUUACCUUUAAUGUUGAUAUCCUUAACCAAAUUAUCAAUUUUGAAAUCUAGCUCUCUCUAUUUUUCCUAAAUGCUAGUAAUGUUAUCAACCACCCACUUCUUGAAAUUUAACAUUUCUAGAGUGUUGUUUCUAGCAGCAUUCAUAAUGGAAUCCACAUUCUCCAUAUCCUGGGCAGAAUCCUCAGACCUAGGGUUGCCCUCCUCCAUAUUAUGUUGAACAUCAUCCCUGUUGUCUGAAUCAUAGGGAUUCUCCUUCGCCUCUGAUGCUUCAACAUCCUCCUCUCUGGUCAUUAACCUUGUCUCCUUCCUCACCCUCAACCUCCUUCUCCUUCUCAUUCUCUGCCUCUUCUUCCACCUCCUUCUCCUGCUCCUGCUCAAAAACAACCUUCUCUUUAGUGUCUUCUUCAUCUUUUUCACUAACCCUCGAUUUCAUUUUAGGAGGAAGAUUAGAAGAAUCCUCAUCAGAGUUAGAACCGUCAUAAUCCUCAGAAAUAUGGGCAUUCUCCACAAAGGGAUCAUCCUUAUUAGCCUUAACUUUACCCUUAAGAUUCACAUAUAUUAACAAAAUAAGACCUUGGUGAGCAAUGGGAUAGGAAUUAGGUUUCUUAGCAUGGUCAGCCAGACUAUCAUUAAGGAAGGAGGUCAAGUAGAAGGGCAGAGAUAUCUUAGAGCCAUGGCAAAAGUGGUUAAGGAUAACAAAGUGGUAAUUGUAGACUUUCGAAAACUUACCAUCAACCGUAAGAUACUCCAUUAACAGUUUCAAGAUUUUUUGCCAAAAUGAUUUUACCUGGUUAGGGAGAUAAUAGGAAGUAUUAUCCUUUUUGGCGAGUUGAGCCCUUUCUUCUUCAUUUUUGGGGAAAUUCUUGAUGGCUUCCACCGAGAACUUGCGAUCUCUAUAAAACUUGAUGCCAUCCUUCUGCAAACUGGUCACCUCAGCCACCAAAUCUUCAUCCACUUUCCAGGUCUGACCAAACAGAGUACCUCUAUUAUUUUUCCAGCCCUUGGCAAAACCAUGGGAAAUGGACUUCUUGCUCCCAUGCAAUUUCUCCAUAUAAUCAGUGAAGCCAUAUCUAUGCAACCUUCUCCAAAUUUUCCUUUCACCCUUCCAACUAUCACAACUAGUGGGCUCAUUACGGUUGAGAUUUCCUCCCAUAAUGUGAUAGUUGUUCAAGUCAAAACCCUCAAAGGAGUGCAAACUAACCAACUGCUAAAGAACAGAGACGUUGGAUUCGAGAACCAAGGUAAUUUUCUUGUUUUUCAAGUAGCCUUUUAAAACAUACAAAUUAACCUAGUACUUAAUAUGAUAAGGCCCUUCACACCUAUACUCAUUAGCGCGAUGCCUGAGAUAGGUCAUCAUCUGACAAUCCACCUCACUCCAAAAUCUAUCAUUGAAGUCCGAACCCAGAAAGGUAAUUAUGAAAUUAAUAUGUACCAUGGAUUCUGUCAUAAAAUAAUUGCUCUCGGACUCUGUUCUUACAUGAUGACUCUCUGAUAUAAUUAGCAUCUUCUGCUAAAAUGACCCCCUCAUUGGCUAACAAAUCAGCUACCCUAUUACCUUCCCUAAAGGUCUGGGUAAUAAUCACACUAUCAUAGGCGUCUUACAUUUUUUAGCAUUAUAAAUGAUAUUUUGGAUAUUCCAAGAAGGGGAACUAAUACCUUUAAUAGCUUGGAUUAUAUUAAGGGAAUCCCCCUCCAGCCAAAUUCUUUUAAAAUUGAAUCUCUAAACAAGCUGAAGACAUUUUAACAUUGCGAGAGCUUCUGCCAAAUGGUUGUUUUGAAUUCCAAAGGGAGAGGCAAUCACAGCAACACAAAAUCCAUAAGAGUUUCUGAUAACCCCUGCCCCUCCAACAUUCCCUGGAUUUCCUUUAGCUGCUCCAUCGAAGUUCAACUUAACCCAAUCAUGAGGAGGGAACCUCCACACCACAUUAUCUCUUCUACUCUUCAUAUCAGACUUCCAGACCUUGUUUAUCAAAUUCCAUUCAGUUAGAAUUCUUUUCUCAUUAUCAGUCAUAUCAAUAUAACUACACUGCUUGUUACUUUUGUGAAUGGUAUUGAUGUUUUCUUUAAUAGCCCUACAAAUCUUUUCAAAAACCACCUGAGAAGAACAUUUAAUCUUUCUAAAAAAAUUAUUGUUUCUCUCCUUCCAAAUAUACCAACAGGUCAUAGGAAGAACAAAGGACCAGAGGGUCUUAAUCAUGGGAAGCUUGGUAGGGAAAAUCCAAUGCCAAAGGACUUCCUUAACACUAUUCUGCAUAACCCAAUCAACUUUCCAUUGCGUCCACACUUUAACCUAGAUUUCCUAGGUAAAAGAAGAGUGAAUGAACAAAUGAUCCACAAACUCGGCCUCUUUCUGACAUAACUCACACCUAUUAGGAAUCAUAAAUCCUCUUUGAACCAGGUUAUCAAUAGUAAGAAUCUUGUUGUGAAUAUAGGGUUGCAAGCCUAAGUAGCUAUUUUUUUGUAAGCAGAGGCAACAGUAAAAUUAACCCUAGGAUUACUCUUCCAUAAGAAGACAUCAUCUGAAUCUUUGCUGACAAAAAAGGACAGCAAAUCAUGUUGGAGCAAAGAAAAUCUAGCAUAAACCGCAUCAAGUCUAACCCAUUUAUUCUCCUCCCAAUAAUUAUAGACCAUAGAACCAAACCUCCUUUUAUAGUAUUCAAUGAAAUGGUUGCAACCCUGAUUAAAAAGAGGCCCAUCUUUGAUCUAGACAUCCUCCCAAAAUGUGAUUUUUUUUACCUUUGCCAAGGACCCAUCCAGCUCUAGCUUUAGCAACUUUAAUAAAUUUUAUCAUACUAUUCCAUAUAAAAGAUCCAGCAGGGAUAUCUUCAGAACAAAGAAGGGAAUGAAUGGGUUGAUUAUGGAUGUAUUUGUCAAACCACACCCUACUCCAAUCUCUCUUAAUACCAUAUUCCCUCCAAAUCUAUUUGGCUAACAAAGCUUUGUUGAAAGGUUUAAGAUAUUUAAUACCUAACCCCCCAUUGCUUUUAGGACCACAGACUUUAUCCCAAGCAACCAAAGCAAUCCUUUUCUUAUCUUCCACACCAGACCAAAGAAAUCUUUUCUGAAUUCUUUCUAAAGCUUCUACAAAUUUGACAAGUAUACUAAACAAACUAAGAGCAUAAACAAGAAAAUUCUGAAGAGUAGCUUGAAGAAGUUGAAGCUUACCAGCCUGCGAUAACAUAGAGCAUUUCCAACCAGCUAAUUUUUUGUUGAACUUAUCAAUAAAAGAAUUCCUGAAAGAGUUUGGAGGAGCCAAACCAAGAGGGAGACCCAAAUAAGUAGAGGGGAGCAGCUCAACCUUACAACCAAUUAUGUUAGCAAUCCUCUGUUGCCUCGACAAGGGGGUGUUGAUGAAGUAAAUAGCAAAUUUCUCCCAAUUAACCUGCUGGCUAGUAGCAAGGGAAUAAGAUCUGAGAGCACCUUUGAAGGCAGAAGCUUCACUAACAGAAGAGUAUCUCAACAAUAUAGUAUCAUCAACAAACUAUUGAUGAGUGCAGAAGAAAUUAGCAAAAGAGGGUUGCAACCCUUUGAUGGUCCUAUUCUCUUUCAACUUUUGAAUCAAUCUGCUCAAACAUUUCGCCAAAAUAGUGAAAAGAAUAGGCAGGAUAGGAUCUCCUUGCUUGAGACCCCUUGAAGAUUUAAAAAAUCUAGAAGAUCCAUUAAUAAGAAUAGAAAAAUUUGGUGUAGAUAUCAACUCUGUAGUGGUUUUGAUAACCUUCUCAUCAAAUCCAAAGGCCUCCACAAUCCUAAAAAGAACCUGCCAUUCAACCCUAUCAUAGGCUUUUGCCAAAUCCAACUUUAUGAGAAAUCCCUCUUUGUUUGCAGCAUUAAGAGAAUGGAUAUUCUUAUGCACAAGAAUUAUAGAAUCCAAAAUCUGCCUACCUGGGACAAAUCAUUUUUGCUCCUUAGAGAUAACAAGGGGAAGAAAAACCAACAAUCUAGGAGUCAGGACUUUUGAAAUUAUCUUGUAAAAAGAAUUACAUAGACUUAUUGACCUAAACUUACCCAUAGAAUCAACUCCAGCCACCUUAGGAAUUAGAGAAAUGAAUGUAGAGUUGAUUUCUUUAAGAAUUCUUCUAGAUCCAAAGAAUUCUUUGACAGCAUUGGCCAUAUCAACCCCAACAAUGUGCCAAUAUUCCUGAAAGAAAAACAUGGGGAAACCAUCCAGGCCCGAUGCCUUAUCCCCUUGAAAGGAGAAAACAACUCUUUUAAUUUCAUCAGUUGAGAGGAUGGCAGAUAAUAUCUUAUUCUAAUUAGGUCCAAUAAUCUUAGGAAUAUUAUCAACUAGAUCUUGUUGCUUUACAAUGUCAAUUUCCUUGCUACCUGUUAGGAGGUUAGAGAAGAACCUUACAGCUUCAUCACCUAUAUCAUCAUCUUUGACAAGAAUUUUGUCAUCAACAAUUAAUCUAGAAAUUCUGCUUGAUUAUUUAUGCUUCAUUGAUGUCAUAUGAAAGAAUUUAGUAUUUCUGUCACUAGCAUCUAACCAAAUAGCCCUAGAUCUCUGCCUCCAGUAAAUUUCUUCUCUUGAAAUAGUGUUGUGUAAUUUGGCUAGAACCUCAUCUUCUUUAGCCUUGGGGAAAUUCUUAUAACCAUACUCCUGAAUAGAAUUUUGAAUCUGUUCUAAUUCCUCCUUAAGCUUCCUCUUGAAUUCAAAAAUAUCUCCAAAAACCUUUUUAUUCCAAACCUUAAUGUUGUCUUUGAUGUUUCUUAACUUUUUAGCAACUUUGAACAUGGCAAAACCAUCCACAGUUAUAUUCCACCAUUUGGCAAUGGAAGCUUCCAAAGAAGGGUGUGAAAUCCAUAUUUUUUCAAACCGGAAUGGAAAGCAAUGUUUUCCCUUAAUAGAAUCAGCAACAAAAGAAAUGGGAUAAUGGUCCGACCCUAUUCUGUUAAUAACAGACAGAGAACAUCUAUACUUAAGGACCCAGUUAGGAGUGAUAAGGGAUCUAUCAAGCCUUACCUAAAUAAGAUCUCCUCCAUCCCUUCGAUUAGACCAAGUGUAGGAUGUUGUUGAAAGGUCAACAUCAAUGAGGGCAUUGGCAUUGAUGAAGUCCAUAAGAUCAGUCCUGCUAUCCAGUUGAGCUUGGGUUCCUCCAAAUUUGUCAAUCUCCUGCAGAGGGGUGUUGAAAUCUCCCAUCAAAAGCCAACUAUCCUGGGAGAACAUCCCUCUUUUCUAUUGGAUUUUGUCCCACAACUUACUCCUAGCAACUUUAGAGUUGGGAGCAUAAAUGUUGGUGACCACCCAUUACUGUCCUUCAGCAAUGCAUUUCACUCUCAUAGAAAUUAUGUUACCAUCUUCCUCAAUCAAAUCUCCAUCAAUAGUUUUCUUAUUCCAAAUUAUGGCAACCCCGCCAGACGCUCCAUUAGAACUACUACCACAAACACCCCCCUGUUUAAAGAAUUUUAAUUUUUCAACUUUUUCCUUACUCAUUUUAUUUUCCUAAACCAGGAUAAUGUCUGGCUUAUGAUCUCUAAUAAAAUUCCUGAGCACAUCCUAUUUAUGGAGACCAUUUAGGCCUCGAAUGUUCCAAGAGAUUACCUUCAUUUGGAAUCCUAGGAGCAGGAUUCCUGAAUGGUUCGCUGCCUUCCAUCAGCUAUAUUUUGUUUUCUGUCCUAGUCCCUAUGCCACUUCAUAGUUUUACGUGCCUGUGGGGAUUUGGAAAGACCAAUAUCCACCUUAGACCUGGUUCUAGUUUUAACCUCAUUAGUACAACCUGUUUUCUUGUUUUUCUUUUUUCCCACUCCUAUUAACUCUUCAUCUUCUUCAUCUUUAUAUGCAGACUUCUUAUUAUUCCAAGGUUCUCCUUUUCUCUGAGAAGAGGUGGGCGAAUCAGUUCCAAAGUUAUGGAAUAGAGAGUUAAGGUUAACCUGGGGCGAUCUGAACUGGGUCUUUUUUUCAAUGAUAACAUCUGGACCUUCAGAGUCCUUUGAACACACUUUAUUACUUUCAUGUUCUGUAUCUUUUGGAGACUCAUAUUGUGAUCCAUUUAUGUAGCCAAUCUCACCCCCUUCAAGAAUUUCUUCUAUAAUUACAUUUUCUUCCUCUUGAAUCUGUAAAGCUUCAAAUCCAUUGAUUAUUUUAACUUCAAAUACAUUCUCUUCAUCCUUUAUGAUUUCCUUCUGAGGAGUGUCCUUGGAAGGACUAGUUUUCCUUUCAUCCCUUGUUAUAUCUUUUGAGUUACUAGGAAGUCUAAUUCCUCCUUCCGAUCUACCCUCCUCAUUUUCUUUCAUCUUCUCUUUCCAGAUCUGUUUGACAUGAUUAUUGUGCUUCUAAGCAUUCUUUGGGUUACUAGGACAAGCCUUUGCCCAAUGUCUAACUUUCUUACAAGAGAAGCACACAAAGCAAAAGGGAGAGAUUAAAACUCUAUAACUUGUUCCCACUUACCUAGCUUGGAAUUUAUUUCGAUAGAGCUAGGAAGGUCCAUGUUUUGUGAGAUAUUAACGCAUAUCCUUGCAUACACCAAUCUCUUUCAUGCUGCAUUCAUAGAGUCUAUAGCCAAAAGCUCCCCAAAGGAUUUAGCAAUGCCUGAGAACACGUCCUCCAACCAAAAUUCAAGUGGCAAACUAGGCAACCGCACCCAGACCGCAUCAGAUUCAAAAAAGGAAUCAUUAAGCUCCAUUUUUGGAGACCAUUUUCUUAAGGAUAAAGAAGACUUCCCAAGCAUCCAGGGUCCUCCACUCAAAGCCAUUUCCAAAUCUUCACCACAGGAGAAGGAAAAUACAAAAAAAACCCUUGACAGGGCUAACACAUCAACCUGUCCUUUUACCCUCCAUUUUAUCUUCACAAAAGACCUAACAACUUCAAUAUUAGGUCUGGGUCCAACAAAUUUCCCCACCAGAGAAAAUUCCAUUAGAGAAAUACUGUGAUCUAUGACCACAUCUGGUACUGCAAUAGCUAAUCUGCCUACCUUUCUAUCAGAAAUAUUUUCCACACAGGGAAAGGUAGAUUUACCAGUAGGCUUGUUUUCAAAUAAACUGUUCUAGGGUUUGAACACCUUGACUUUAGCCAUCUUUUCCAACUCACCGUUCAAGUUCUCGGGACCCAACUUUGAAGAAUCUUCAGUAUUUUUAAAGUCAAGAGGAGGGUCCCGAUGUCGUGGUUCCCCAUCCUUUCGACCAUCCUCAUCAUCCACCGUAGAUCCCAAAGAGACAAUUUGUCCUUGAGUUGUAGAGGCAACAAAACCAGAGGAACCAGUCAUGUUGUUCCCUCCAUUCGCAGAAUUCAAAUUUCCCUCCAGCUGCGUUAUUCCCUCCAUUUUUUUAAUAAUCUAUUUGAUGUUAAGUUCCAACAUAAAGUGAAUUUAUUUGUUUUAAUUAAGCAAGCAAUUAUAAUAAUGUGCAUGACAUUGGAAUGUAGCCUGAUAAUCAUGGAACACAACCUCCACAUAAAGGUCUGGAUGUGCAUCCCCAUAGUGGAGAGCAUGUAGUCGAUGGUGACCAAGUGGAGCAUGACCCGGGUAGACAACAUCAGAAACACGAUGUUCCCCAAUCAGAGGAUCUAGAGGGUAUUCAACAUGUUGAGGUUGAGGCUAGAAAAAAUGAUUUCGAAGAUGAUGUGGCCCCAUUAGAUAAAGAGCGUCGCGGUUAUGUUCUUUAAAUUAAUGAAAUACUUGUAACAAAAACAAAAAAUGAUUUGAAUUUAACCCAUUUCUUUGUUAUUGCAGAGGACCCCCCUUUGCAUCAGUGUCCUCAUCCUCAGAAGAGGACUAGGCAUACAUCAAGAUCACGAGUAGAGGGUAGAACAAUUGAAGAGGGGGGAAGUGAUGAAGAAAACGAUGGUCCACUUAGACUUUUCAUAGCUUAAAAAAAAUGAUUGUAAUCUACAUUAUUUGAUAAUGAUUGAAUGUAAUUAUGUGCUAAUGAAUGUUCAUGAAAGGUAUGUGUUAAUUAAUAUUGAUGAAUGUUGCGUGUUAAUGAGUGUUAAUGAAUGUUAUGUGUUAUUGAACGUUAUGUUAUAAUGAAUGAAUAUUAUAUUUUAUUAAUGGAUGAAACAAUGAAUGAAUGUUAGAUGUUAAUGGAGAAUUUAGAGUGAUGUUAGGGGGGGGGGAGAGGAGCCAAAUGAGAUUCCACCUUCACGUGGUUGGCCUUGUUAAGUAGAGAAUAUUAAACUAUUCUCGAAACCAAGCGAAACUCAAUAAGAUAACACACUUUUCAAUAUCUCAUUAUGUUGCAUAGUUAAUCUUAUUGAAUAAUGUAUAUUGAAUCUUAAUUGCAAUGUCCAACAGAGCCAACACGAACAACAACACCACAAGUAAGUGGUUUUUUUUUUAAGUUUUUUUUUUCAUGAUAAUCUGGGAAGGUUCAUCUACAGUGUUAUGUGUAACUGUGAAGGUGAGAAAUUUAUAUUUUUUGUGAUUCUGACAUUUAUUUUUUG
Molecule: long non-coding RNA, 8984 nt
Organism: Cryptomeria japonica (Japanese cedar)
Lineage: Eukaryota; Viridiplantae; Streptophyta; Pinopsida; Cupressales; Cupressaceae
Exons: 3
Source: RefSeq, a predicted model, not a curated record